CCCUUAGAUGUUCUGGGCCGCACGCGCGCUACACUGACGAAGUCAGCGAGCAUGUCCUACGCCGACAGGUGCGGGGAAUCUUGUCAAACUUCGUCGUGAUGGGGAUUGAUUUUUGAAAUUCUUGAUCAUAAACGAGGAAUUCCUAGUAAGCGCAAGUCAGCAGCUUGCGUUGAUUACGUCCCUGCCCUUUGUACACACCGCCCGUCGCUACUACCGAUUGAACGUUUUAGUGAGCUCCUCGGAUUGUCAGCCUGGCGGUUAAUCCUACCUGGCUAGCGAAAAGACGAGCAAACUUGAGCGUUUAGAGGAAGUAAAAGUCGUAACA
Molecule: ribosomal RNA, 325 nt
Filed under: uncultured eukaryote
Lineage: Eukaryota
Description: partial 18S ribosomal RNA
Rfam family: Eukaryotic small subunit ribosomal RNA
Source: RNAcentral